Molecule: long non-coding RNA, 2594 nt
Filed under: Danio rerio (zebrafish)
Lineage: Eukaryota; Metazoa; Chordata; Actinopteri; Cypriniformes; Danionidae
Description: lncRNA si:zfos-754c12.1 (ENSDARG00000096700.4)
Source: RNAcentral
AGGUGCCUUCUGUCUGGAGCAUCAGGCCAAACUUCUGCUGUCCAGAAUCAGGUGGUUUGUCUUGGUCGGGCAUCUCAGCUGGGACCUGUCCACUAUGGGUGACCCUGCCGGUAGCUGUGAAGUACCAGUGGCGUAGCUCUCAGCAUCACUGAUGCACACAAGCCCUUACAGCACGUCGGGCUGCAAACCAUGUGAGGGACCCUAACCUACCCUAACCCAGCAGCCAACACUAACAACCACUAAUGUGCCAAAAAACACUCAGAGGAGACCAGCAACACGCAAGAAACCGCCUGGAAAACCUUGCUAAACGCAUGUCAACAUUCAAAAGAACCCAAGAGCCGAAUAUGAACAGCACCGACAAUCACCAAAACAUCCAGCAAUGUGAUGAAAACUUAAAUAAGAUGUCAAAUGUGAUGUUUUGCAAGCUUAUUGUGUAACUAUACAAUAUGUACAUAUGUGCCCUUGAUCCUCCAUCUGGCACGAGGAUGGCUCAGUGCCUGAGCUUCUUUCUUCGGGGCUCCUUGGGCAGCGGCUCUUUGCUGAUGUCCACCUUGAUUUGGGGAGCGAGGCUGGACUCAGAUCUGCACUCUGUGAUGAACACACAUCCAUCAGGCUGCUCAGUCUCCAGCAGUGCAGGCCGGUCCAGCUUCUCCCACAGCCGCUGCUUGAUCUCGAGGCCCUGCUGGAUGGUGUAUCGGCCAUGGCGCUUCUUCACGGUGGAGUCCAUCACACUGCGGUAGAUGUGCUGAUAGUCCUGCACACUCCGGCCGUGGAUGGAGAGCGGCUCCUCCUGCGGACACUCACCCACUGAGGCUGUGGGACGGAAGACAGGAAGGACAGCCGCGUUUCUCAGGUGUCGCUGUUCCAGAGAAGUGUCUGACAUGCAGCUGGAGGUGUCCAGCCUGACCGCUGUGGAAGCAGAAGAGACGCACUCCAGCAAGAACUCCUUGAGGAGCGUCACUCCUACUGACCAGACUGUAGCUGGAGUGGCAUUGUAGCGAUGUCUGCGAAACCACUAAGGAGGAAGAGCAUAUCCAGGAGUGCCUGAAGGACAGAAGACCACAAACAUCUGCUCAAAAUUCUCGACAAAUUCUGUUUAGUUGAUCAGCAGAUGUUCACAAACAUCAACAGAACAUUUCCUUCUGUAACUCAAACCCACCUGUAAAGUAUUUGUAGGCCGAGCGCUUCAGCAGAUCUCCAUUGCCGAAGUCCAGCAGCUUGAUGUCCGGGGACUCUGUGGAGAUCAGCAGGUUCUCUAGCUUGAUGUCCCGGUGCAGGACACAGCUGCUCUUGCAGUGUUACAAUGCCGCGAUCAGCUGCACCAGCACUUUCUUGGCCGUACGCUCGUCCAGACAGCCGUUCUUUUCACAGAAGCUCUGGACAUCUUGGCAAGGAGCCGGACGCUCUAGGAGGCGGACGCUCCAGGAUCAGGACGUAGCGCCUGGAAAGGUCAAACCAGUCCAGCAGCUGCAGGACACAGGGGCAGGCAGGAGAUGAAAUGACGCGGGUCAUCAGUGCCACCUCUAGCGGCAGCAGACCCUGACCGUCCUGCAGGACAAACCCUCCAUUAUAUCCAGCACUGAAUCAAACACGGCAAACACCACAGAUUCACACCAAAACAUACAACUUUCAGUCUCUCGGGGGUCCGGUCCUGCUACAUGAACUUGAUGGCCACCUGCAGACAGAAAAAGCAAAGUAAAUCACACCUGCCUGAUUGAGACACAUGACAUUUACUGACAGCAACAUUUCUAAAGCAAGUCUGAAUGAAGGAGGGAAGAAAAUCUCUUACUGGCAGUCCAUCAGACCUGCGGAUCCCAGCAAACACAGAGCCGAAUCCACUUCGUCCCAGCAACAGGCCCUUCAGGUACAAGUCUGCAACACAGAAGAGCACAAGAAAUGAAGAAGAGAAAACAUGCUGCAGUGUCUUCAAUGACAAAUCAUUUCCUAACUGAGCCAUAAGAUCUGGAUGACUUGAGCUGUGCUGACCUCUGUGAGAGCGUUUGGUCUGUCUCUGGGAGGAGGUGGACGAUGUUUGCUGACUGCUGCUUUGCCUUUUGCUUUUGCUGUUCCUCUGGUCUGUGAUGCAGAACCAGCCAAAUGUGACGGCAGAGGAGCCAAAUAUCCAGGAGGCUCAGCGGUGCCGUCCCGUGUGUCUGUGUCCAGAGCUGUUGUCUGGGUGAAAGCAGCACUCCUGGGUCUGGAACGGCUUGAGGCUCAGAUAUAAAUCACUCACAGAAACAUUUUUCCUGCUCACUUUUAUCACACUUUCAGAAGGAACUUGCAGUUUUUAUUGAGCAACUCUGCAGUUUCCAUCAUUAUAAUUGUUUUAAAGAAUAAAAACAAACAUCAAAACAUUUUUAAUAAAUUUUUUGUUUCAUGUGAACUUCGAUGAUAUUUUUUAUAUUAGUAAAACAUCGUACAGCAUCAUACAGUGACAUACUAAUGAUGAAUUAAAAACACUCGCUUCCUCUUUCUUCUCCCAUGUGGGACAUGGACAAUCUCCUCCAACCUGCAAUAAAGCAAGAAAAUACAGAUAAAAUAUGAAAAUUCAUUUAAAACAAAGUAAAUUAAAGGAAAAAGAAAAACAAAACGAA